This 253-nucleotide ribosomal RNA is filed under the name uncultured bacterium. RNAcentral's name for it is "partial 16S ribosomal RNA". It matches the Rfam family "Bacterial small subunit ribosomal RNA", at positions 793 to 1055 of the family's 1533-position model. The record is from RNAcentral.
GUCCACGCCGUAAACGAUGGAUACUAGCUGUUGGGGGCAACUUCAGUGGCUAAGCGAAAGUGAUAAGUAUCCCACCUGGGGAGUACGAACGCAAGUUUGAAACUCAAAGGAAUUGACGGGGCCCGCACAAGCGGUGGAGCAUGUGGUUUAAUUCGAUGAUACGCGAGGAACCUUACCAAGGCUUAAAUGCAGACUGACCGAUUUGGAAACAGAUCUUCGCAAGACAGUUUACAAGGUGCUGCAUGGUUGUCGU